GACGAACGCUGGCGGCGUGCCUAAUACAUGCAAGUCGAGCGGACAGAUGGGAGCUUGCUCCCUGAUGUUAGCGGCGGACGGGUGAGUAACACGUGGGUAACCUGCCUGUAAGACUGGGAUAACUCCGGGAAACCGGGGCUAAUACCGGAUGGUUGUUUGAACCGCAUGGUUCAAACAUAAAAGGUGGCUUCGGCUACCACUUACAGAUGGACCCGCGGCGCAUUAGCUAGUUGGUGAGGUAAUGGCUCACCAAGGCAACGAUGCGUAGCCGACCUGAGAGGGUGAUCGGCCACACUGGGAUGAGACACGGCCCAGACUCCUACGGGAGGCAGCAGUAGGGAAUCUUCCGCAAUGGACGAAAGUCUGACGGAGCAACGCCGCGUGAGUGAUGAAGGUUUUCGGAUCGUAAAG
RNAcentral lists this ribosomal RNA (411 nucleotides) under Bacillus subtilis. Its description in RNAcentral is "bacterial SSU rRNA". It matches the Rfam family "Bacterial small subunit ribosomal RNA", at positions 28 to 430 of the family's 1533-position model. The record is from RNAcentral. Lineage: Bacteria; Bacillati; Bacillota; Bacilli; Caryophanales; Bacillaceae.